Molecule: unclassified non-coding RNA, 230 nt
Filed under: plant metagenome
Description: partial contains small subunit ribosomal RNA, internal transcribed spacer 1, and 5.8S ribosomal RNA
Source: RNAcentral
UCUCCGUAGGUGAACCUGCGGAGGGAUCAUUACCGAGUUCAUGCCCUUACGGGUAGAUCUCCCACCCUGUGUUAUCAUUACCUCUGUUGCUUUGGCGGGCCGUCAGGCCUUGGUCUGGCUACCGGCUCCGGCUGGUAAGCGCCCGCCAGAGGACCUCAAACCCUAAAUGUCAGUGUCGUCUGAGUACUAUAUAAUAGUUAAAACUUUCAACAACGGAUCUCUUGGUUCUG